AUCCAACUGACGAGUACCGAGUAGGACGAAACUCGCGUCCUGGAU
RNAcentral lists this non-coding RNA (45 nucleotides) under Schistosoma curassoni. Lineage: Eukaryota; Metazoa; Platyhelminthes; Trematoda; Strigeidida; Schistosomatidae. The record is from RNAcentral.